GUAGGUGAACCUGCGGAAGGAUCAUUAACACGUAUCCAACGUAUCCACCCCUGUGGUCCUGUGCGCGGCUCUAUAUGUGAGUGGUAGAAACCAACUUUGUAACCUUCGUGGUUGCAAAGGUGCAAAUCCCAUGAUCAGAGAAACCAACUUUGUAAAACCUUCGUGGUUGCAAGGUGCAAAUCCAUGAUCAGAGGCAUGUUGGUCUGCUGACUGAUAUGACAAAGACCUAAUCAGCCUGCGCGGUUGAUGG
This 250-nucleotide unclassified non-coding RNA is filed under the name plant metagenome. RNAcentral describes it as "partial contains small subunit ribosomal RNA, internal transcribed spacer 1, and 5.8S ribosomal RNA". The record is from RNAcentral.